Molecule: ribosomal RNA, 484 nt
Filed under: uncultured bacterium
Lineage: Bacteria
Description: partial 16S ribosomal RNA
Rfam family: Bacterial small subunit ribosomal RNA
Source: RNAcentral
AUUGAACGCUGGCGGCAGGCCUAACACAUGCAAGUCGAGCGGAUGAAGGGAGCUUGCUCCUGGAUUCAGCGGCGGACGGGUGUGUAAUGCCUAUGAAUCUGCCUGGUAUUGGUUGAUAACGUCCGGAAACGGGCGCUAAUACCGCAUACGUCCUGAGGGAGAAAUUUGGUGAUCUUCGGACCUCACGCUAUCAUAUGAGCCUAGGUCGGAUUAGCUAGUUGGUUGGGUAAAGGCCUACCAAGGCGACGAUCCGUAACUGGUCUGAGAGGAUGAUCAGUCACACGGGAACUGAGACACGGUCCAGACUCCUACGGGAGGCAGCAGUGGGGAAUAUUGGACAAUGGGCGAAAGCAUGAUCCAGCAAUGCCGCGUGUGUGAAGAAGGUCUUAGGAUUGUAAAGCACUUUAAGUUGGGAGGAAGGGAAGUAAGUUAAUACCUUGCUGUUUUGACGUUACCAACAGAAUAAGCACCGGCUAACUUCGUG